RNAcentral lists this ribosomal RNA (465 nucleotides) under uncultured bacterium. RNAcentral's name for it is "partial 16S ribosomal RNA". It matches the Rfam family "Bacterial small subunit ribosomal RNA", at positions 28 to 507 of the family's 1533-position model. The record is from RNAcentral.
GACGAACGCUGGCGGCGUGCUUAACACAUGCAAGUCGAACGGAAAGGCCCCUUUGGGGGUACUCGAGUGGCGAACGGGUGAGUAACACGUGAGUAACCUGCCCUUGACUUCGGGAUAACUUCAGGAAACUGGGGCUAAUACCGGAUAGGAAUCCUUGCUGCAUGGUGGGGGUUGGAAAGCUUCGGCGGUUUUGGAUGGACUCGCGGCUUAUCAGCUUGUUGGUGGGGUAGUGGCUUACCAAGGCUUUGACGGGUAGCCGGCCUGAGAGGGCGACCGGCCACAGUGGGACUGAGAUACGGCCCAGACUCCUACGGGAGGCAGCAGGGGGGAAUAUUGCACAAGGGGCGGAAGCCUGAUGCAGCAACGCCGCGGGCGGGAUGACGGCCUUCGGGUUGUAAACCGCUUUCAGCAGGGGCGAAGCUUGUGGUGACGGUACCUGCAGAAGAAGCACCGGCUAACUACGUG